This 497-nucleotide ribosomal RNA is filed under the name uncultured bacterium. RNAcentral describes it as "partial 16S ribosomal RNA". It matches the Rfam family "Bacterial small subunit ribosomal RNA", at positions 28 to 507 of the family's 1533-position model. The record is from RNAcentral.
GAUGAACGCUGGCGGCGUGCCUAAUACAUGCCAGUCGAGCGAACAGACGAGGAGCUUGCUCCUCUGACGUUAGCGGCGGACGGGUGAGUAACACGUGGAUAACCUACCUAUAAGACUGGGAUAACUUCGGGAAACCGGAGCUAAUACCGGAUAAUAUAUUGAACCGCAUGGUUCAAUAGUGAAAGACGGUUUUGCUGUCACUUAUAGAUGGAUCCGCGCCGCAUUAGCUAGUUGGUAAGGUAACGGCUUACCAAGGCAACGAUGCGUAGCCGACCUGAGAGGGUGUUCGGCCACACUGGGACUGAGACACGGUCCAGACUCCUACGGGAGGCAGCAGUAGGGAAUCUUCCGCAAUGGGCGAAAGCCUGACGGAGCAACGCCGCGUGAGUGAUGAAGGUCUUCGGAUCGUAAAACUCUGUUAUUAGGGAAGAACAAAUGUGUAAGUAACUAUGCACGUCUUGACGGUACCUAAUCAGAAAGCCACGGCUAACUACGUG